UACAGAGGUGGCAAGCGUUGUUCGGAAUUAUUGGGCGUAAAGAGCUCGUAGGCGGUUCGUCACGUCGGCUGUGAAAACCUGAGGCUCAACCUCAGGCCUGCAGUCGAUACGGGCGGACUCGAGUUCGGCAGGGGAGACUGGAAUUCCUGGUGUAGCGGUGAAAUGCGCAGAUAUCAGGAGGAACACCGAUGGCGAAGGCAGGUCUCUGGGCCACUACUGACGCUGAGAAGCGAAAGCAUGGGGAGCGAACAGG
This 253-nucleotide ribosomal RNA is filed under the name uncultured bacterium. RNAcentral's name for it is "partial 16S ribosomal RNA". It matches the Rfam family "Bacterial small subunit ribosomal RNA", at positions 524 to 776 of the family's 1533-position model. The record is from RNAcentral.